RNAcentral lists this small RNA (1362 nucleotides) under Histoplasma capsulatum var. duboisii H88. RNAcentral's name for it is "Histoplasma capsulatum H88 hypothetical RNA". The record is from RNAcentral. Lineage: Eukaryota; Fungi; Ascomycota; Eurotiomycetes; Onygenales; Ajellomycetaceae.
GCUAGGACGUAAUGGCCAAAAACGCGAUGGGAUAAGUGUCCGCGUUUCCUUAUGCCGAUGCUACGGUUUGAGGCUUGGAAGAUGCUGCAAGGGCAGAUGACUCGAGAAUGCUCGUACCCGAAUAAAUCGUGUGAGAGCCGACGGAUGUCAUAAGAACUAUGUCAUUACCAGGCUUCAGCUGAUCUACAGUCCUCUUGACAGACAGGCACGUACUAUUUCGACGAUUUCAAAGUGGGGGGGUUAACCCUAGGAUUACAGAGAAUAUGUAUGGAGCACGGGCAGAUAUAUAUGAUACCCGGAGCAACUACGACGUACUUCGGUGCCAAUUCGUGGUUACAGAUGAUCCAUUGACAUUAAUAUUUACCUCCAAAAAAAUAAAAUAAACUGCAUAUAUCCUCAGGAACCAUAUCCCUCUUAUCUUCAGUCCCCGUGGGAGAUCAUCUUUUGCUUAUUAGUUAAUCUUUGCCGCAACUCCUGUUCCCAGUCUAAAGGAAAUAUUCUGUCAGUGGAGUCCAUUCCAUAUUCAUACUUGCAGAGGCCUCCAGAUGCCAAAAGGCUGGUUGGACAAAGAACGAUCAUGGGAUUUCUGGAAUUUUAAAACUCACCCUUCAUCCACUUCUUCACAAAUUUGACUUCCUGUGCCUGUGCGUCUGCUACGGCCUUGGGAGGGAGCAUUGGUGUGCUUUCAUUCGCAAGCAUUCCAUUCUCAUCCCCUUCAAACAUCGAGCAGUUCUCAUCAACAGCGAUCCUAAAGAAACUCAAAACAGAAACAGGACGUGGAAAGCAUAACUCACAAUGAUGUCCAGCCCCCUCGAUCAAAAUAAACGGCUUUUCGAGCGUGCUUUUCCGUGGCCUAGCCAUUUCGGAAUGGGGUGUUGCUGGGCGCCAGGGGUCGACUUCCCCGUCAAUGAAGGCCAGCCGCUCAUAUUCAAUGUCGAACCCGCCAUAUUUGUUGACUCUAUUAACGUCCGAAGGUCUGUAGAUACCAAAGGCUUCUCGGCACAUUAUGCUGGCGUACUCGAGGUCGAUCAGGCGUGAGACCAUGGGCAUUUGAUCCUGGGGGACCGUGCUGCCGACCUGGAGGAAGCCCCAUCUAUGAGCAAGGAAGUAGAUCAAGAUAGAGUCAGUCUGGGUACCCAGAUAUUAAAUCCAAGGUUCUACCUGGUUUCGUUCCUUUUCUCGCAUCUGAUCCAGAAAAAUCUCCAAGAAAUGCGGGCCGGGGUUUCACUUACUCCGUGCACACCUGAUAUGGCCAGCACCGAUUAUCAGCCUGUGCAAGGCUAUCAUUCUUAAACCACGCCAUAUCAUGUUGCCCAAGACAUUCAUCCAUUGUCUGUUCAGUCUCUUUGCAGUAGACCAGUU